RNAcentral lists this ribosomal RNA (253 nucleotides) under uncultured bacterium. RNAcentral describes it as "partial 16S ribosomal RNA". It matches the Rfam family "Bacterial small subunit ribosomal RNA", at positions 524 to 776 of the family's 1533-position model. The record is from RNAcentral.
UACGUAGGGGGCAAGCGUUAUCCGGAUUUACUGGGUGUAAAGGGAGCGUAGACGGCGAAGAAAGUCUGAAGUGAAAGGCCGGGGCCCAACCCCGGGAGUGCUUUGGAAACUGUGCGGCUAGAGUGUCGGAGAGGCAAGUGGAAUUCCCAGUGUAGCGGUGAAAUGCGUAGAUAUUGGGAGGAACACCAGUGGCGAAGGCGUCUUGCUGGACGAUGACUGACGUUGAGGCUCGAAAGCGUGGGGAGCAAACAGG